Non-coding RNA from Daphnia pulex (common water flea), 72 nucleotides. The record is from Rfam. Lineage: Eukaryota; Metazoa; Arthropoda; Branchiopoda; Diplostraca; Daphniidae.
GUGGUGGAGGUAUAGUGGUUAGCAUAGUUGUCUCCUAAGCAAUUGACCCGAGUUCGAUUAUCGGCCAUCGUA